UAAAUCAUGGGUUUAUGGGUUAGCUCGUGUCAGGUCCAUUUAACUGGAUUAGACCUAGGGUUAGAAAUUAUUAACAAUGAACUAUAUUAGUAAUUGAUCAAAUUUAAUUAACAGUUAAUUCUGAUUGGGUCAAUUCUUCUCUUGAUCAAUUCUCAAUAGUUAUAGUUAGUCAGAGUCCAUAUUUUUGAUUAGAUCAAGAUAGACC
RNAcentral lists this long non-coding RNA (205 nucleotides) under Elaeis guineensis (African oil palm). Its description in RNAcentral is "long non-coding RNA (EGUI_LNC036578)". The record is from RNAcentral. Lineage: Eukaryota; Viridiplantae; Streptophyta; Magnoliopsida; Arecales; Arecaceae.